RNAcentral lists this ribosomal RNA (414 nucleotides) under crenarchaeote SCGC AAA008-K16. RNAcentral describes it as "SSU rRNA". It matches the Rfam family "Archaeal small subunit ribosomal RNA", at positions 464 to 878 of the family's 1478-position model. The record is from RNAcentral. Lineage: Archaea; Thermoproteati; Thermoproteota.
GCCGCGGUAAAACCAGCACCUCAAGUGGUCAGGAGGAUUAUUGGGCCUAAAGCAUCCGUAGCCGGCUCUGUAAGUUUUCGGUUAAAUCCAUGUGCUCAACGCAUGGGCUGCCGAAAAUACUGCAUAGCUAGGGAGUGGGAGAGGUAGACGGUACUCAGUAGGAAGGGGUAAAAUCCUUUGAUCUAUUGAUGACCACCUGUGGCGAAGGCGGUCUACCAGAACACGUUCGACGGUGAGGGAUGAAAGCUGGGGGAGCAAACCGGAUUAGAUACCCGGGUAGUCCCAGCUGUAAACGAUGCAGACUCGAUGAUGCAUUGGCAUAUAGCCAGUGCAGUGUCGCAGGGAAGCCGUUAAGUCUGCCGCCUGGGAAGUACGUACGCAAGUAUGAAACUUAAAGGAAUUGGCGGGGGAGCA